AACGAACGCUGGCGGCAUGCCUAACACAUGCAAGUCGAACGAGAUCUUCGGGUCUAGUGGCGCACGGGUGCGUAACGCGUGGGAAUCUCCCCUUUGGUUCGGAAUAACAGUUGGAAACGACUGCUAAUACCGGAUGAUGACGAAAGUCCAAAGAUUUAUCGCCAGAGGAUGAGCCCGCGUAGGAUUAGCUAGUUGGUGUGGUAAAGGCGCACCAAGGCGACGAUCAUUAGCUGGUCUGAGAGGAUGAUCAGCCACACUGGGACUGAGACACGGCCCAGACUCCUACGGGAGGCAGCAGUGGCGAAUAUUGGACAAUGGGCGAAAGCCUGAUCCAGCAAUGCCGCGUGAGUGAUGAAGGCCUUAGGGUUGUAAAGCUCUUUUACCCGGGAUGAUAAUGACAGUACCGGGAGAAUAAGCUCCGGCUAACUCCGUGCCAGCAGCCGCCGUAA
This 449-nucleotide ribosomal RNA is filed under the name uncultured bacterium. RNAcentral describes it as "partial 16S ribosomal RNA". It matches the Rfam family "Bacterial small subunit ribosomal RNA", at positions 29 to 523 of the family's 1533-position model. The record is from RNAcentral.